AUUGAACGCUGGCGGCAGGCUUAACACAUGCAAGUCGAACGGUAGCAGGAGAAAGCUUGCUUUCUUGCUGACGAGUGGCGGACGGGUGAGUAAUGCUUGGGAAUCUGGCUUAUGGAGGGGGAUAACUACGGGAAACUGUAGCUAAUACCGCGUAAUAUCGAAAGAUUAAAGUGUGGGACCUUCGGGCCACAUGCCAUAAGAUGAGCCCAAGUGGGAUUAGGUAGUUGGUGGGGUAAAGGCCUACCAAGCCGACGAUCUCUAGCUGGUCUGAGAGGAUGACCAGCCACACUGGAACUGAGACACGGUCCAGACUCCUACGGGAGGCAGCAGUGGGGAAUAUUGCGCAAUGGGGGGAACCCUGACGCAGCCAUGCCGCGUGAAUGAAGAAGGCCUUCGGGUUGUAAAGUUCUUUCGGUAUUGAGGAAGGUUGAUGUGAUAAUAGUACAUCAAAUUGACGUUAAAUACAGAAGAAGCACCGGCUAACUCCGUGCCAGCAGCCGCGGUAAUACGGAGGGUGCGAGCGUUAAUCGGAAUAACUGGGCGUAAAGGGCACGCAGGCGGUUAUUUAAGUGAGGUGUGAAAGCCCCGGGCUUAACCUGGGAAUUGCAUUUCAGACCGGGUAACUAGAGUACUUUAGGGAGGGGUAGAAUUCCACGUGUAGCGGUGAAAUGCGUAGAGAUGUGGAGGAAUACCGAAGGCGAAGGCAGCCCCUUGGGAAUGUACUGACGCUCAUGUGCGAAAGCGUGGGGAGCAAACAGG
Molecule: ribosomal RNA, 759 nt
Filed under: Haemophilus influenzae
Lineage: Bacteria; Pseudomonadati; Pseudomonadota; Gammaproteobacteria; Pasteurellales; Pasteurellaceae
Description: bacterial SSU rRNA
Rfam family: Bacterial small subunit ribosomal RNA
Source: RNAcentral